CCUUCAAAGUGCUAUACUGUAUUGUUGACAGGUAACAGUAGCGGUGAGCUAGGUUGUGAUUGCUGUAGUUAUAGUAUUGCCUGCAGCUUUCUGUGGUUCCAGAGACACUCGAUCAUCUUAAAACAUGUCAUGAUUAGCUCUCAAGGUGUCCUUGUAGGUGUUGCUGCAACGGUUAGAGAUGUGCAGAGUACAUUCCAUGACAUCAGUGUUCCACUAUGUACAACUUCCAUUUUCAUUUAGUUCUUUUUCCGACCUUCUUGUAGUUGAAGUGGUGUGAAAUGAUUCAACUCUGACUCAAUGUUCAAACACACACAGACAGACACAAAGACAGACAGACAGACAGACAGACAGACAGACAGACAGACAGACUUCUUUCUUUCUUUCUUCCAGAAUAGAGCUGUCUCACAUCUGACUCCCACUAUCAGUCAAAUCUCUUAGUCACUCACUACUACUGUAGAUGAUGACAGAGCUAGAUCACGUUCCUACAUUUAGUCUCUAGUGUAUAUAUACAGUAUAUGGUGCACUACGGGCUCUGGUCAAAAGUAGUCCACUAUAAAGGGAAUAGGGUGCCAUGUGGGCUGCGUGCUGAAAGAAAGAAAGAAAGAAAGAAAGAAAGAAAGAAAGAAAGAAAGAAAGAAAGAAAGAAAGAAAGAAAGAAAGAAAGAAAGAAAGGACACUGCAGUGACCUAUAUUAACGGCUAUUAUGAGGCGCAGGUGUUUCCCUCUCUGGCAAUCUGAGAUCUGUCGUUGCUAGGAGACCUACCAACGGAUACAGGAAGAGAGAGAGAAGUGAGAAGGGGGAGAUAUUCAGAACACGCCGGAACACUUUAUCACACAUAGAAUCCUCUGGAAUGUCAUCUGUACAAGAGAGUGACGAGGAAAGGCCCUGCUCAAAAUUGAGUUUUCAAGGUGGCGAAAUUCAUCAUGACUACAAAGCAAGUCUGACAGCUAGCUAGUAAAAUGAAUGAACGUAUUUGUUGAUGGCUGAGCACCAUUUAUAACAACACUCAGACUACACGGACCUAAUUUGGAUUCACUUUUGUGCCAUUUCUAGCUAAUUGUUUAUACCGUCAAUCAGAGUAGCCAUAGUCCUUUGUACAGUUCAGUCCAUUAAAUGGCAAGAAAUGAUUAAUUACGUCUCACAAGCAUCUAAUUAACCUUUAGGCCUACAAGAGGGGAUAUAUUUACGAAGACACAGCUAACAAUAUAUACAUGUUGAAUUUGAAGCAGUAUUUUAACACAUUUAGAUUCAGAGUAACAUAUGACCUCUUUCUAUGACUGUUAUUCUCCAUUCUGCUGACUACAGUAUUAUAAUAUGCUUCACCGCUGAAGCAAUACUGCCCUCGCCUGGCCAAUACAGUCACUGCAUGUACACUCUGCUGUCGCUCUGGUCGUGUGGCCAGCCUUUCGUCCCAGAGAGAAAGAGUGCACAUUGACAAUAGUUACAUCUACAGUCACAGAUAGAAAGUAAUUCCAGGAAGUACCACCGCUUAUUCCAGAGUUGGUACUGGAUAACCUCUUAUUCCAGAGUUGGUAAUGGAUAAC
This 1545-nucleotide long non-coding RNA is filed under the name Salmo salar (Atlantic salmon). RNAcentral's name for it is "lncRNA (ENSSSAG00000097856.1)". The record is from RNAcentral. Lineage: Eukaryota; Metazoa; Chordata; Actinopteri; Salmoniformes; Salmonidae.